ACAUAGUAAAGGUUGCAAGUGCCUUGGAUGGUAUUCCAAGUGGAGUGGCCUGGAAGUUUGCAGCAAAAAGGAAACCAAACACAAUCUUCUCAUUUCGGACACUUUCUGGUGGAUGUUAAGAGUUUGCCUACAGUUUAAGCAGAUGCUGGAGUUUCUCGACAUGUGUGGUCUCCCAAGGAAGAGAUGAUGGUGAGAAGAGGUUCAGCCCACCAGCCUUUACUAUCUUCCUUCCUGUCCUUUGCUCCAGAAGACUCCCUCUUGUCUGCCCAUGGAGCUCAUCACCACACCACCUGUUACCCAGUGUCCAUGCCACCUGGCUGCCAUUGCAGUGGUCCACCCUCCCAGGGGGCCUGAGCGGCUGUCCCUCUUGGUCUGUGUGUCCUACCAAAAGCCUUGCUAAAUGGAGAUGUGAUGGGGCCAUGGUCACUGGCAGGGUUGCUCAUGGAUUGCUGAUGGAAUGCGUGGAUGGGAGGCCAGUCUGAUCCACUCUUGCUAUGAGUCAUAGCUGGUCUUCCCUGGUCAAGCAGACCCACUAUCCUCACGUGGGGACUCUCUGCCAGGUGGCUGGGUUUCAUCAACACGAAAGUUCAUCUGCCCCCUUCAUUUGCUGACUCUGAUAGACAGUUCUUGUGUGUAGAGGGAUCCUCCCCUUCUGUGGGGUCACCCGCGGCAGAGAGACUGUUUCUGCACUGCAUGGCAAUGAUCCCUUUGGGAAAUGGUUUGCUCAGUGGUUAGUAGAGGUGAGCCUUGUGUGACCUGCAAGGUAACUGGGUCACAGGUGUCCAGCAGACCCACUUGUGCUUGCUGUUCUGGAGUGAGAAGCAGACAGGUAGACAGAAGGAAGAGGUGCAUACACGUUUACAGAACAGAGAUUGGUGGAGAAGGUAAGAACUGAAAUUCAGAUUUCACAUAACUAGAGUUCUCCCCUUCUCCCUCAGCCAGAGGAAUAAUGAAUAAUAGAGAGUAGUAGUUAUAAUAAUAACCUGACCUGCCUCUUGAGAAUCUGUAUGCAGGUCAGGAAGCAACAGUUAGAACUGGACAUGGAACAACAGACUGGUUCCAAAUAGGAAAAGGAGUUCGUCAAGGCUGUAUAUUGUCACCCUGCUUAUUUAACUUCUAUGCAGAUUACAUCAUGAGAAAACGCUGGACUGGAAGAAACACAAGCUGAAAUCAAGAUUGCCGGGAGAAAUAUCAAUAACCUCAGAU
This 1206-nucleotide long non-coding RNA is filed under the name Bos grunniens (domestic yak). Its description in RNAcentral is "lncRNA (ENSBGRG00000018103.1)". The record is from RNAcentral. Lineage: Eukaryota; Metazoa; Chordata; Mammalia; Artiodactyla; Bovidae.